GACGGAGGGGGCAAGCGUUAUCCGGAAUUACUGGGCGUAAAGGGUGCGUAGGCGGCUUGGCAAGUCUGGGGUGAAAGCCCGCAGCUCAACUGCGGAUCGGCCCUGGAAACUGUCCGGCUUGAGUGAGGUAGGGGUUACCGGAAUGCCCCGUGUAGCGGUGAAAUGCAUAGAUAUCGGGCAGAACACCAGCUGCGAAAGCGCGUAGCUGGGCCUAAACUGACGCUGAGGGACGAAAGCGAGGGGAGCGAAUGGG
RNAcentral lists this ribosomal RNA (253 nucleotides) under uncultured bacterium. RNAcentral's name for it is "partial 16S ribosomal RNA". It matches the Rfam family "Bacterial small subunit ribosomal RNA", at positions 524 to 776 of the family's 1533-position model. The record is from RNAcentral.